RNAcentral lists this ribosomal RNA (478 nucleotides) under uncultured bacterium. Its description in RNAcentral is "partial 16S ribosomal RNA". It matches the Rfam family "Bacterial small subunit ribosomal RNA", at positions 28 to 523 of the family's 1533-position model. The record is from RNAcentral.
GACGAACGCUGGCGGCGUGCUUAACACAUGCAAGUCGAACGGAAAGGCCCUUCGGGGUGCUCGAGUGGCGAACGGGUGAGUAACACGUGGGUGAUCUGCCCUGCACGUUGGGAUAAGCCUGGGAAACUGGGUCUAAUACCGAAUAUGAUCAUCGGCUUCAUGGUUGGUGGUGGAAAGCUUUUGCGGUGGGGGAUGGGCCCGCGGCCUAUCAGCUUGUUGGUGGGGUAAUGGCCUACCAAGGCGACGACGGGUAGCCGGCCUGAGAGGGUGACCGGCCACACUGGGACUGAGAUACGGCCCAGACUCCUACGGGAGGCAGCAGUGGGGAAUAUUGCACAAUGGGCGCAAGCCUGAUGCAGCGACGCCGCGUGAGGGAUGACGGCCUUCGGGUUGUAAACCUCUUUCAGCACAGACGAAGCGCAAGUGACGGUAUGUGCAGAAGAAGGACCGGCCAACUACGUGCCAGCAGCCGCAGUAA